GAUCCUGGCUCAGAUUGAACGCUGGCGGCAUGCCUUACACAUGCAAGUCGAACGGCAUCGCGGGAAAGCUUGCUUUCCUGGCGGCGAGUGGCGAACGGGUGAGUAACACAUCGGAACGUACCGGCUAGUGGGGGAUAACCCGUCGAAAGACGGGCUAAUACCGCAUACGCUCUUCGGAGGAAAGCAGGGGACCUUUGGGCCUUGCGCUAGCCGAGCGGCCGAUGUCCGAUUAGCUAGUUGGUGGGGUAAAGG
RNAcentral lists this ribosomal RNA (252 nucleotides) under uncultured bacterium. Its description in RNAcentral is "partial 16S ribosomal RNA". It matches the Rfam family "Bacterial small subunit ribosomal RNA", at positions 15 to 263 of the family's 1533-position model. The record is from RNAcentral.